Molecule: ribosomal RNA, 462 nt
Filed under: Lomentospora prolificans
Lineage: Eukaryota; Fungi; Ascomycota; Sordariomycetes; Microascales; Microascaceae
Description: Scedosporium prolificans Eukaryotic small subunit ribosomal RNA
Rfam family: Eukaryotic small subunit ribosomal RNA
Source: Rfam by way of RNAcentral
UUCUUGAUUCUGUGGGUGGUGGUGCAUGGCCGUUCUUAGUUGGUGGAGUGAUUUGUCUGCUUAAUUGCGAUAACGAACGAGACCUUAACCUGCUAAAUAGCCCGUACUGCUUUGGCAGUUCGCCGGCUUCUUAGAGGGACUAUCGGCUCAAGCCGAUGGAAGUUUGAGGCAAUAACAGGUCUGUGAUGCCCUUAGAUGUCCUGGGCCGCACGCGCGUUACACUGACAGAGCCAGCGAGUAUUUCCUUGACCGGAAGGUCCGGGUAAUCUUGUUAAACUCUGUCGUGCUGGGGAUAGAGCAUUGCAAUUAUUGCUCUUCAACGAGGAAUCCCUAGUAAGCGCAAGUCAUCAGCUUGCGUUGAUUACGUCCCUGCCCUUUGUACACACCGCCCGUCGCUACUACCGAUUGAAUGGCUCAGUGAGACCUCCGGACUGGCCCAGAGAGGUGGGCAACUACCACUCA